CAACAAACAGAGCAGGGAAAAACAGCACCCCGAAGACAGCAUUCAGGACCCAGCCCUUUAGACAAAAGGGAUCAGAUCAGGUCUACUAGAUGGCCUCAUUCAGUCAGACACACCCAGUUAAGCAGCCCUGGAAAGGGACUCUAGAGAAUGCUAGAAGUACUGUGAAGCUCGCAGAUGGCCUUGUGGACUUUAGCACUUCAGAAGACAACAGUCUCCCAGCAAAAUGUUGCAAGCAGCACAGGCUCAGGAAUGGACAGACUGGCAGGCAAGGUACAAUGAAGGAACUCAACGGGAGCUUGGGAGACAACACAGCAAGAAGGCAGCAGUCUGCACACCAGGAGGAGAGUCCUCACCACAACUCAGCCCUGCCACACCCUGAUCCUGGACUUUCAGCCUCCAGAGCUGUGAGAAAUAAAUGCCUGCUGUU
Molecule: long non-coding RNA, 427 nt
Filed under: Homo sapiens (human)
Lineage: Eukaryota; Metazoa; Chordata; Mammalia; Primates; Hominidae
Description: PREDICTED lncRNA (TCONS_00249754)
Source: RNAcentral